AUUUAAAUAGCUUAUAUUUAGAGUUUAAUAUUGAAGAUAUUAAGGAGAUUUUAUAAUCUUUAAAUA
RNAcentral lists this transfer RNA (66 nucleotides) under Acrolepiopsis assectella. Its description in RNAcentral is "tRNA-Phe". Lineage: Eukaryota; Metazoa; Arthropoda; Insecta; Lepidoptera; Plutellidae. The record is from RNAcentral.